UAAGGAAUAUUGGACAAUGGGCGAAAGCCUGAUCCAGCCAUGCCGCGUGAGUGAUGAAGGCCUUCGGGUUGUAAAGCUCUUUUGGCGGGGAAGAUAAUGACUGUACCCGCAGAAUAAGCCCCGGCUAACUUCGUGCCAGCAGCCGCGGUAAUACGAAGGGGGCGAGCGUUGUUCGGAAUUACUGGGCGUAAAGCGUGUGUAGGUGGCUUGAUAAGUCUGAUGUGAAAGCCCAGGGCUCAACCUUGGAACUGCAUUGGAUACUAUCAGGCUAGAGUGGUGGAGAGGAAAGCAGAAUUCCCAGUGUAGAGGUGAAAUUCGUAGAUAUUGGGAGGAAUACCAAUGGCGCAGGCAGCUUUCUGGACACACACUGACACUGAGACACGACAGCGUGGGGAGCAAACAG
RNAcentral lists this ribosomal RNA (403 nucleotides) under uncultured bacterium. RNAcentral's name for it is "bacterial SSU rRNA". It matches the Rfam family "Bacterial small subunit ribosomal RNA", at positions 355 to 775 of the family's 1533-position model. The record is from RNAcentral.